Long non-coding RNA from Miniopterus natalensis, 353 nucleotides. RefSeq lists it as uncharacterized. Lineage: Eukaryota; Metazoa; Chordata; Mammalia; Chiroptera; Miniopteridae. The record is from RefSeq and is a predicted model, not a curated record.
AGGAUGCGGCAACUUGCCAUGAAUGAAGAGCGGCUGGUCACAUGGCCUGGUCACCAUGACGACGGAUCCCGCAGCCGAGGUGGGCACGAUCUCUGCCCUGUGGAAGGUACACAUCAGCCAAGGUGACCAUCACUCAGCAGCCUGUUACACCAUUAAAUACUUAACUACUCUUGUGACAAAGGCUACUAAGGAGAAGAAGUGUCCACCUGGGAGGCUGACCGAAUUCUUCUCCAUGGUCAGGGGAGGCAUGAAGAAGUAGGGUCCAAGGUGAACUCUAUAGACUCUCUUUUUGAGGAUGUUUGCAGAGCAAACAGCUUUGGAAGUUGGAGACAGUGUCUCCCCAGCAGAUGACA